RNAcentral lists this ribosomal RNA (497 nucleotides) under uncultured bacterium. RNAcentral's name for it is "partial 16S ribosomal RNA". It matches the Rfam family "Bacterial small subunit ribosomal RNA", at positions 28 to 507 of the family's 1533-position model. The record is from RNAcentral.
GAUGAACGCUGGCGGCGUGCCUAAUACAUGCAAGUCGAGCGAACGGACGAGAAGCUUGCUUCUCUGAUGUUAGCGGCGGACGGGUGAGUAACACGUGGAUAACCUACCUAUAAGACUGGGAUAACUUCGGGAAACCGGAGCUAAUACCGGAUGAUAUUUUGAACCGCAUGGUUCAAAAGUGAAAGACGGUCUUGCUGUCACUUAUAGAUGGAUCCGCGCUGCAUUAGCUAGUUGGUAAGGUAACGGCUUACCAAGGCAACGAUGCAUAGCCGACCUGAGAGGGUGCUCGGCCACACUGGAACUGAGACACGGCCCAGACUCCUACGGGAGGCAGCAGUAGGGAAUCUUCCGCAAUGGGCGAAAGCCUGACGGAGCAACGCCGCGUGAGUGAUGAAGGUCUUCGGAUCGUAAAACUCUGUUAUUAGGGAAGAACAUAUGUGUAAGUAACUGUGCACAUCUUGACGGUACCUAAUCAGAAAGCCACGGCUAACUACGUG